RNAcentral lists this ribosomal RNA (253 nucleotides) under uncultured bacterium. Its description in RNAcentral is "partial 16S ribosomal RNA". It matches the Rfam family "Bacterial small subunit ribosomal RNA", at positions 524 to 776 of the family's 1533-position model. The record is from RNAcentral.
UACAGAGGGUGCGAGCGUUAAUCAGAAUUACUGGGCGUAAAGCGCACGUAGUCGGCUUUGCAAGUCGGGUGUGAAAUCCCCGGGCUCAACCUGGGAACUGCAUCCGAGACUGCAUUGCUAGAGUAUGGGAGAGGGAAGCGGAAUUUCUGGUGUAGCAGUGAAAUGCGUAGAUAUCAGAAGGAACAUCAGUGGCGAAGGCGGCUUCCUGGACCAAUACUGACGAUCAGGUGCGAAAGCGUGGGGAGCAAACAGG